RNAcentral lists this long non-coding RNA (267 nucleotides) under Gossypium barbadense (sea-island cotton). RNAcentral's name for it is "long non-coding RNA (GBAR_LNC015962)". The record is from RNAcentral. Lineage: Eukaryota; Viridiplantae; Streptophyta; Magnoliopsida; Malvales; Malvaceae.
AACGUCCCAUUUCAUUAGUAGAAAGACAUCAUAUGCAGCUGGAGCUUAGAUCCUGUGCAAAAUGAAAGGCCAAAACUUGUACAAGAAAAGGACUCGGUUCUAAAUUUAAAACAGAAUUAAACAAUGUUAGGGUUAAGCUUAUGCGGUUACUGACCACAGACCACUCCAUUAAUGUUGUUUUAGGAUGGGUGCGAGAGAAAGAUUCUCGUCUGUAACUUUGACAGUUUACCUAUGAUAGUUGGAAGUAUCGUGGAGCGUGAGAGUUCC